AUACAAUUCAUUGAGCUUUACGCUUAUAAUUUAUUCUCCUUUUUGGGUGUACUUUAAUCAAUGAGCAUAUGGAUUGAAGUUAGUUUAUUAACUAUUAUUUUGUUAGUUCGUUUUUAAGGCAGUGAACAGACUGUUAACAACAGGACUGAGCUCUGGGCUAGGAGGCAGUGAUUCACUGGAAAGAUCAGAGCCUGUCUGAGAAACAGGGCAGUAAACAGAAAGCUCAGUGAUGUAUGAGUGCUGAAGACUUUUUUGUUAAGAUGCACAGGAGGAAGACAGAGAAUCUAGGAAGGUGCCAGGGAUGAUUUCUCAUCCCAAAGCCCUGGGAGAAAUCCCAUCUCUGGGCAAGAAGAGAAUCUGAACGCAAAUGGAUGAAGAUGCUAAUGAGGCUCAGAUGAUGAGAGCACACUAGGCUCACAGCAUGCUGACAAAUCCAGAAACAGGCUAUGCUUCCCUCCCGCCUUCCUAAGACUUCAGCUAAGACACUGCACAUGCCCGUCCCUCUGCAGGAAGGCCAUCCACAGUUAUAUCUUGCUUUAAAAAAGCAAAACUUUGAAAAAUAAAAUGUACAAAAUUGGGUA
RNAcentral lists this long non-coding RNA (581 nucleotides) under Homo sapiens (human). RNAcentral describes it as "HSALNT0383095". Lineage: Eukaryota; Metazoa; Chordata; Mammalia; Primates; Hominidae. The record is from RNAcentral.